AGACAUUACAGACAUUAUUGACACCACUAAACCUACGCUCCAUGAGUCCACUAGCACAAGAACAAAGUGUAUCUACUGAAAUUGGUGGCAAAGCAGAAUCACCAAUACUCCCACAAGCAAAGUUCGAAACUGACUCAGAGCCUAACAGAAGAGGUAAUGUACCAAACUGAAUUUCCACCACGGUACUAAACUUGUCCAAAUGUCUCUGAACUGGUUC
RNAcentral lists this long non-coding RNA (217 nucleotides) under Olea europaea (common olive). Its description in RNAcentral is "long non-coding RNA (OEUR_LNC010013)". Lineage: Eukaryota; Viridiplantae; Streptophyta; Magnoliopsida; Lamiales; Oleaceae. The record is from RNAcentral.